Molecule: long non-coding RNA, 2842 nt
Organism: Eriocheir sinensis (Chinese mitten crab)
Lineage: Eukaryota; Metazoa; Arthropoda; Malacostraca; Decapoda; Varunidae
Exons: 5
Source: RefSeq, a predicted model, not a curated record
CACAGUUCAUGUUCUUAAUCUUCAUACUGGGCUCCAAUUAUGUCGUUACGGAGAUGAUUAACUGGGUUUUCAUGGGUGGUUUUAAUGUCCGAGGCGCAGAGGUCAUAUCAAACUUACCACCAGGAUCACUAAACGGUCCAUUAAAAUCCCAGCAACUUCCCCGAGAGGCUCCCCAUUAUGUAUUUCCCAAGGCCAUAGAGAAGAUUAGCUGGAUUUUCAUGGGUGGUUUUAAUGUCCAAGGCAGUGAGGUCAUGUCAAACUUACCACCAGGAUCACUAAACGGUCCGUGAAAAUCCCAGUAACUUCCCCGAGAGGCUCCCCAUUAUGUAUUUCCCAAGGUCAUAGAAAAGAUUAGCUGGAUUUUCAUGGGUGGUUUUAAUGUCCGAGGCAGUGAAGUCAUGUCAAACUAACCACCAGGAUCACUAAACGGUCCGUGAAAAUCCCAGCGACUUCCCCGAGAGGCUCCCCAUUACGUAUUUCCCAAGGCCAUAGAGAAGAUUAGCUGGGUUUUCAUGGGUGGUUUUAAUGUCCGAGGCACAGAGGUCAUGUCAAACUUACCACCAGGAUCACUAAACGGUCCGUGAAAAUCCCACCAACUUCCCCGAGAGGCUCCCCAUUAUGUAUUUCCCAAGGCCAUAGAAAAGAUUAGCUGGGUUUUCAUGGGUGGUUUUAAUGUCCGAGGCGCAGAGGUCAUAUCAGACUUACCACCAGGAUCACUAAACGGUCCGUGAAAAUCCCACCAACUUCCCCGAGAGGCUCCCCAUUAUGUAUUUCCCAAGGCCAUAGAAAAGAUUAGCUGGAUUUUCAUGGGUGGUUUUAAUGUCCAAGGCAGUGAAGUCAUAUCAAACUUACCACCAGGAUCACUAAACUGUCCAUUAAAAUCCCAGUAACUUCCCCGAGAGGCUCCCCAUUACGUAUUUCCCAAGGCCAUAGAAAAGAUUAGCUGGAUUUUCAUGGGUGGUUUUAAUGUCCAAGGCGCAGAGGUCAUGUCAGACUACCACCAGGAUCACUAAACGGUCCAUUAAAAUCCCAGCGACUUCCCCGAGAGGCUCCCCAUUAUGUAUUUCCCAAGGCCAUAGAAAAGAUUAUCUGGAUUUUCAUGGGUGGUUUUAAUGUCCAAGGCAGUGAAGUCAUGUCUAACUUACCACCAGGAUCACUUAACAGUCCAUUAAAAUCCCAGUAACUUCCCCGAGAGGCUUUUUAUACAGGCGAUGUGAGGUGUUGAAAUGCUGAAGAAAUAGAGAAAGAUUUGCAUAGGUUUAGUCUACCCCGAACGGCGAUAUCUCCUCACGCUAACACACAAAUUAAUCAGCGUUCGUACUCAUUAACCGUCAUUAGUUCUGGAAUACUGUGAGUCGUUUAGAAGAAGAGAAAGAUUUGCAUAGGUUUAGUCUACCCCGAACGGCGAUAUCUCCUCACGCUAACACACAAAUUAAUCAGCGUUUGUACUCAUUAACCGUCAUUAGUUCUGGAAUACUGUGAGUCGUUUAGAAGAAGAGAAAGAUUUGCAUAGGUUUAGUCUACCCCGAACGGCGAUAUCUCCUCACGCUAACACACAAAUUAAUCAGCGUUCAUAUCUAUUAACCGUCAUUAAUUCUGGAAUACCGUGAGUCACUCUGAAGGUCAUGGUUGAGUGGGGAACGCAGAAAGAGCAGUUAUUAGCGCCUGUAAUAUCCAUCAUCUUCAGCCUCCCCCGCAUGCAAAUUCGAUCAAUUACUCCGUUGAUUACGUUUAUAUCUUAAUUACUCUCACUUUUGCCGUGUACGCUAAUCACCGCUAAUUUGGUCGUAACCUGUGACAGCGAACACUUGUACACUGGUGAAUCUAACACCCACGAGACUGAUUGCGUUAAUUUGCUGUUCCGUGAUGUUACGUGCGGAAGAACGUGUUUUACCUCGCUGUUUACGUUAACUCAUUAUUAAAGCUUUUUACAACACUACAUAUUAUACAUUUACAUUCACAGUUUGUUGUAGUAGAGGAGGAAGAGUGUAUCUAGACGCCUCUUCACCCAAAAUUGACCUCUCUUUUGGGUACUCUUUAAUCUUUUACGAGAGCGACCCACAAAAUUCUGAGCUAGCGAGUGGGGAAGAGUUGGUACUUAGGAUUUAGUGUCUACAAUACUCUAUACGGAGACUUGAGAUGAGUUUGUAUUGUUUAUUUUCCUCUUUUUUUUAUUUGCGCAUGUUCUAGUACAAGUCUUUAUGAAGCCACUGACCGAAUUUAUUGGGGUACGAUAUAUCUGUGAGGGUAAAAUAUGUCUGGGAAUGUAGAGUAUCGCGGCAGCAAAAAAAGGCCGGUCUUGCCUGAGAAAUGCAUGAUGAGUGGAACGGAAACUUUUGGAAACUUACAGUGUGCGAGAGGGUUACAGGGAAAACAAUAAAAAGUAGAGAAAAACAAUAAAAAGAAGAGGAAACAAAAAAAAACAUCAACACUGCCCUCUCAAAUAACAACUACCCCACAAAAAAGUCCACAAAUAACAAUAACAAUAAUAACAGAAAUAACAUAAACCUACACUCGUCACCUCUACUAAAAAAAUCAUUCGUCGCCGCAGCCGUUCCCAGACCUCAUGACGACUCGAACGGCCUUGCUGAGUACUUAAUCCAAGGGCUGAGUCAUGCUAACUGAUUGCCACAUAAGAAUAUUAACUAGUCUUUAUGGUGCCGGGAAUGAGACUGCAAAAUGUAUAGGUCGGCAGUGAGUACGAGAGAGUAGAAUAUUAGCUCAUCUUUACGGCACGGGGAAUUAGACGGUGAAAUAUAUUGGUCGGCAUUGAAUAGAGGAGAGUAGAAUUUUAGCUCAUCUUUACGGCAAGGGGAAUUAGACGGUGAAAUAUAUUGGUCAA